GCCUGGGUGGCGGAACUGGUAGACGCAAGGGACUUAAAAUCCCUCGAUCCUCGUGGUCGUACGGGUUCGAUUCCCGUCUCAGGCA
Molecule: transfer RNA, 85 nt
Filed under: Deltaproteobacteria bacterium
Lineage: Bacteria; Pseudomonadati; Myxococcota; Myxococcia
Description: tRNA-Leu
Rfam family: tRNA
About the family: Transfer RNA (tRNA) molecules are approximately 80 nucleotides in length. Their secondary structure includes four short double-helical elements and three loops (D, anti-codon, and T loops). Further hydrogen bonds mediate the characteristic L-shaped molecular structure. tRNAs have two regions of fundamental functional importance: the anti-codon, which is responsible for specific mRNA codon recognition, and the 3' end, to which the tRNAs corresponding amino acid is attached (by aminoacyl-tRNA synthetases). tRNAs cope with the degeneracy of the genetic code in two manners: having more than one tRNA (with a specific anti-codon) for a particular amino acid; and 'wobble' base-pairing, i.e. permitting non-standard base-pairing at the 3rd anti-codon position.
Source: RNAcentral